This is a non-coding RNA of Myodes glareolus (Bank vole), 4535 nucleotides long. The record is from RefSeq and is a predicted model, not a curated record. Lineage: Eukaryota; Metazoa; Chordata; Mammalia; Rodentia; Cricetidae.
CACUUCCUGCAAUAAGACCAUACCUACUCAAACAUGGCCACAACUCCUAAUGGUGCCAUUCCCUUUGGGGGCUAUUUUCUUUCAAACCACCAGAGAGUACUCUUCAGUGGAAGUAUAUACAAAUUGUGUAGGGAUUUUCCAGUAUGUGGCAUUCAUAAAUCAUUACCCAUGCUGAGAUGGACUUUUUUGUGAUGCAGCUGCAUCUGGGUGAUAAUUCACCAUUUAUAUCCCUGUAGGAAACCCCAAUAAACUCAUUGGUUCACUGAGUCAGGCUUGGUGAAAUCCUUUCUUUGGUUGACUGCUUGUGCCUUAUCUUAGGAAGAAUAGACAUGUAUUCAUGUUUUCUUAGGAUCACACAAUACCUCAUAUCAAGUGGUUCCUUUUUAUUUUUAUAUAGUCUUUGGCUGGCAAUUUCUCACAUGUAUACAAUAUUUAUUGAGUGUAUCCACACUGCAUGAUACCUCUCUCUGAAAAUCCGUGGCUAACUGAUCUGUUGCAAGUAACCAUAGGUGCAGUCAGUGCAUGAGUGCAAUGAACAUGCCGCAUCCAGAAGACAAUAUUUCUCAGUACUUUACUACAUCCUUUGGUGCUUACUUUUUUCAUCCCCACUGCACAAUGUUUCCUGAGCUUUCAGGAAGGGGUUGGUAGCAAUGUCCCAGUUAGAGCUGGACACUCAGCAGACAUUUAUUCUCAGUACUCUGACCAGCUCUUGUCUCUGCAUUAACAACUGCCAAGGUUUUUCUAGUCAAAGUCAUUUGUAGCACUAAAUAUUUAGAAGGCAGUUUUUCAACCUAUUUAGCACAGCAACAAUAUGUUCCUUUAAGGCCUAUAUGACCCGGUAUCACGGGGUCUUGCAUCCUGCUCCUUUGAGCAUAUGACUGAUUUAUGAACUACCACAUUCAUCCUUUCCAACUUUCACUCACCAAAGGUCAGGCUUAGCUGAAUGUUCAAAAUGCUUGUUGGAACAGCAAAUGAGUAGAGGCUUCACUUUAAUCCCCAUUUCAAAAUGUACUGUCUAAUUCCAUUCUGGGGAUAAAAGAGUUUCAGAGGCCCACACUGGCUUUCCCCUCCCAUCUCACUCCAGCCAGAUGGGGAGGUAGGAAGAGCUCCUAUCCCUCUACUGUCUGAUUAGAGAUUUCCCAUGAGCUGUCACAGAUCUGUCACAGGAACUGAGGAGAGCCCAAGAAGGGCAAGAAGAGUUGGAAAAGGAUUGAAGCAAUCAGGAACUGGGCUUCCUGCUGCAGGGGAGGAGGAAGGAGGGGCCAUCUUGACAUCAGAGCUUGGUGAACUCUACCUGCCCCCAUGCAGUUUCCCAUGGGCCCUGCCUGCAUCUUCUUGAGGAAAGGCAUUGCUGAGAAGCAGCGGGAGAGGCCACUGGGACAGGAUGAGAUUGAUGAGCUCCGGGAAGCAUUUCUUGAAUUUGACAAGGACCGAGAUGGGUUCAUCUCUUACAAGGAUUUGGGCAAUCUCAUGAGGACGAUGGGUUACAUGCCUACGGAGAUGGAGUUGACUGAGUUGGGCCAACAAAUCCGCAUGAACCUUGGUGGCCGUGUAGACUUUGAAGACUUUGUGGAGCUGAUGACCCCCAAACUGCUUGCAGAGACAGCAGGGAUGAUUGGUGUCCAGGAGAUGAGAGAUGCCUUCAAGGAGUUUGAUACCAAUGGAGAUGGGGAGAUCACACUGGCAGAGCUACAGCAGGCCAUGCAGAGGUUGCUGGGGGAGAAGCUCACACCUCGGGAAAUUUCUGAGGUGGUACAGGAGGCUGACAUCAAUGGAGAUGGCACUGUUGACUUUGAAGGUAAUGUACUGGACAGAAAUCCAGGAAUCUACAUCUGUUCCUUCCCCACGUGUUCUCCAAAUCAUUAUUCCCUGUACUUCUCCAAGUUUGCAUUUGAAGGUAUGUUCUAGUUUCAUUUCUGUUGAUGUGAUAAAACAGGUCACUCACUGGUCUUUGCUCAGAUAGCUUUCUCAUGCAGAAACCACUUACCCAGGGAAUGGUGUUGCCCACAGUGGACUGGAACCUGCUGCACCAGUUGGCCACCAAACAAUACCCACAGAUAUGUCCACAGGUGAAUCUGAUUGUGGCAGUUCUUCAGUUGAGGUUUCCUCAUCCCAGAUAACUCUAGAUUGUGUCAAGUUGAUGACUAUAAACUUAGUAUAUUAUGGGUUCAUAGCUGAGGGAAGCAUAGGUUGGCUACAUCAAGUUUAAAUUGUGAUAUUCUCUGGUUUAAAGUACUCAGCAUCUAGUUAUUGCCUUCAGGCAUGGGGCCACCAUGUGUAGUCUGUUCUCCAAGUCAUGCCUCUUCAGGCCACCCAGUCCUGUCUUCUUCAACCAUGCUGUGAAUUGGUGUGCCCUGGGGGAAAUGUGUUUGCUGUUGCACAUCCUUCAACUUCUCUUCCUUUGUAUCUCACGUCCUGCCCACUUGUUGCACUUCUAAGACUUCCGCAUCCCUCAAGGACACAUGCCAAUACCAGUUGCUAAGAAUCUUCCCUUACCCUUGCCUGAGUAUAUUAAACCUGACUGUGAGCCUUCUAGACAGUUUUUCUCUUUUCUGUGGAACUUACCUUGUGUUUGUUUCCAGGCGGCAGGACAGUUGAGGAUCUCCCACCCACCCCUUCCUUUUGCUGGUGCUUGUGUGUGAGGCCAAUGUACCAUAUGUGUGUGCACACACACUCACAGAGAUCAGAGGAGGGCAUUGGGUGUCCAGCUCUGUCACUCUCCACUGUAUUCCCUCUAGAGAGAGGCUCUCUCUGAACCUGAAGCUAGGCUGGUAACUUGCAAGCCCCAGCAGUCCUCCUCUUACCACCUCCUACAGCCCUGUGGUUAUAGGUGCACACUGGAAUUUUUAAUGUGAGUACCAGGGAUUCAAACUGAGCUCCUCAAGCUUUUGUAACAAGCACUCUUACUCACAGAUCCAGCUCCCCAGCCAUUGAGAGGGGUCUUUUAAAAGUCAUGUCUGUUCUACAAGUCCCCAAAUGGAAACUUAAUAAAUUUGUUAGGUACCUGCUGAAUCUUACCAGUCACAGAUGGACCUUGUGCAUCAGAAAAUGGGAAGGAGGUGGAGGUGAGGCCAACUAUAAGCAAAGGAAAGAUAAAAUGACCUCAAGAUGUAUUGGAGCCAGCAAAUUCAUCUGACAUUACAUCUAGACAAAGUAAUGGGCAAUCUGUUCAUUCAGGGCCUUCUAUUCACUAUCCACCUGAUCACAGGCAGGCCAGUGUCCCUUACUAGCCUCUAUUUCUUUUCUGUGAGAUGGCAUCAGGAGGACUGAAAGAUAGAACAAAGGUUAGAGGUAGAGCUCGGUGGAUAAGAGCAUUUGCCUUGAGGAUACCUGAGUUUGGAUACCUAGCACCCAUGUGAGAAAAUAUUCAGGCAUGGGCUCAUGCCUGUAACUGGUGGAGGAUAGAGGUGGUGAUCAGAGGUUCACUGCAGUUCCUGGCCUGCAGCUUACCAAAGAAUUGGUGAGAUAGGUCUGGAGAGAUGGCGCAGUGGUUCAGAGUGUUAGUUGCUCUUCCAGAGGACCCAGAACCCAUGUCAGUUCCCAACUCCAGUUCCAGUGAGAUCUUUUGUUCUCACUGGGCACUGUAUACAUGUGGUGCACAGGCACUCAUGUAGGCAAAACACCAAUACGCAUUAAAACAACAACAACAACAACAACAACAACAAUAAUUAGUGAGCUCUAGGUUCACUGAGGGACCUAUUUUCAAGGGAAAAAGAUGUGAAACGAGUUGCUUUCCCUAAGAGGAAUGUCACAGGAAAUUUUCUUUUUCAGAGUUUGUGAAGAUGAUGUCUCGUUGAAGAGAUUUUCCUUUUGUGUCUCCCUUGGGAAAAGAUGGUGUGGGGAACUUUUUCACAGUCUGAAGGAAGAAAAGAAAAUCUUUCAAAAAGUUCCACACACAACCUACUUUCUGCCUGGCUCCUCUAACAACAACCUCAUUUCUUUUUCUUGGCGAGAGAGUGUCCCACUAGUCACAGGGCUGUGAGGAGGAGCCUGAUAAGUCUUAGCUUGGAGGAGGCCUUCAAGGUUGAGUUUCCCAGAAGCACAGCCUGUCGCUUCCCUGUAAAUACCCACGUCCCUGCUCUAGCGUGAGAUAACCCAGGGAGAACUGAGCUAAACCACUAAUCUGGAUUAUCAAGGUUUAGAGCAAGCUGAUCUCUGGAGGGAAUUAAUCCCCUGCAAAAUAUCUCGAGGGAGGUGAAGUGGGUGGAAAGAAGACAGGAUUUUUCAAAUCCCUAGUCAGCCAGGUGACUGCAAUGCCAUUUCCAGAAGCCCUCUGCCCCUGUGCUGAUGUGCCCUGGGCUGCUCCAGGUGACUCUCUACUUUACUUAGGUGGUUCAUGGACUCCAUCUCUCGCAUACAUGGAUCUGGACACUUCAGCCUCUUUAUCAUUCAAGAUAAAGAAUUCGUGUCAUGCCUUCUUCCAAGCUUUUUUUUGCUUUGAUGUUCUUUAGGUAAACCUAUAGAAUAUGUCAUCUGAUCUCUGACCCAAUAGCCUCAAUUUAUAUGACUGAAAUAAAGUAAAAGGAGAAUAAUAA